CCUACGGGGGGCAGCAGUAGGGAAUCUUCCGCAAUGGACGAAAGUCUGACGGAGCAACGCCGCGUGAGCGAAGAAGGUCUUCGGAUCGUAAAGCCCUGUUGUUAGGGAAGAACAAGUACGGGAGGAAAUGACCGUACCUUGACGGUACCUAACGAGGAAGCCACGGCUAACUACGUGCCAGCAGCCGCGGUAAUACGUAGGUGGCAAGCGUUGUCCGGGAUUUUUGGGCGUAAAGCGGGAGCAGGCGGUCUUUUUAGUCUGAUAGGAAAGUUUGCGGCUCAACCGCAAGCGUUCAUUGGAAACUGGGAGACAAGAGGGCAGAAGAUGAAAGCGGAAUUCCACGUGUAGCGGUGAAAUGCGUAGAGAUGUGGAGGGACACCAGUGGCGAAAGCGGCUUUCUGAUCUGUAACCGACGCUGAGGCGCGAAAGCGUGGGGAGCAAACAGGAGUAGAUACCCCCGUAGUC
Molecule: ribosomal RNA, 465 nt
Filed under: uncultured bacterium
Lineage: Bacteria
Description: bacterial SSU rRNA
Rfam family: Bacterial small subunit ribosomal RNA
Source: RNAcentral